Long non-coding RNA from Ooceraea biroi (clonal raider ant), 275 nucleotides. RefSeq lists it as uncharacterized. The record is from RefSeq and is a predicted model, not a curated record. NCBI's taxonomy places the organism in Eukaryota, Metazoa, Arthropoda, Insecta, Hymenoptera, Formicidae.
AAGAAAAGUACUAGAUCGCUGUUGCAUAAAGGUGCCUUUUCAUGCAGCGAUUUUUUAGCGAGUAGCGAAUAAUUCGCCGCGAAGUGGCGAAUCAUUCGCCACGAAUAGUUUGUGAGCGUCACGUCUGUAUGGUUGCAUGUCAACAAUAGAAAAUCUUGAAAUCUUUGUAAUGGACGACGAGUCGGUUAUAAACUGGACUUGGUAUAACCACCAACUGCAGUGGUUAUUGCAUAUGUACAAUAUGUACAAUAAGCAAAUUAUUAUUAUAUUGUACA